This 1239-nucleotide ribosomal RNA is filed under the name metagenome. Its description in RNAcentral is "bacterial LSU rRNA". It matches the Rfam family "Bacterial large subunit ribosomal RNA", at positions 1634 to 2866 of the family's 2925-position model. The record is from RNAcentral.
GGAUACGACCGUACCGCAAACCGACACUGGUGCGCGAGAUGAGUAUUCUAAGGCGCUUGAGAGAACUCAGGAGAAGGAACUCGGCAAAUUGACACCGUAACUUCGGAAGAAGGUGUGCCCUAUUAGUGUGUAGUGAACAACGAAGCAUGAAUGGGUUGCAAAAAAUCGGUGCUGCGACUGUUUAUUAAAAACACAGCACUCUGCAAACACGAAAGUGGACGUAUAGGGUGUGACGCCUGCCCGGUGCUGGAAGAUUAAAUGAUGGGGUGCAAGCUCUUGAUUGAAGUCCCAGUAAACGGCGGCCGUAACGAUAACGGUCCUAAGGUAGCGAAAUUCCUUGUCGGGUAAGUUCCGACCUGCACGAACGGCGUAACGAUGGCCACACUGUCUCCUCCUGAGACUCAGCGAAGUUGAAAUGUUUGUGAUGAUGCAAUCUCCCCGCGGAAAGACGGAAAGACCCCAUGAACCUUUACUGUAGCUUUGUAUUGGACUUUGAACAGAUCUGUGUAGGAUAGGUGGGAGGCUUUGAAGCAGGGUCGCUAGAUCUUGUGGAGCCAACGUUGAAAUACCACCCUGGUGUGUUUGAGGUUCUAACCUAGGUCCAUUAUCUGGAUCGGGGACAGUGCAUGGUAGGCAGUUUGACUGGGGCGGUCUCCUCCCAAAGCGUAACGGAGGAGUUCGAAGGUACGCUAGUUACGGUCGGACAUCGUGACGAUAGUGCGGUGGCAUAAGCGUGCUUAACUGCGAGACUGACAAGUCGAGCAGAUGCGAAAGCAGGACAUAGUGAUCCGGUGGUUCUGUAUGGAAGGGCCAUCGCUCAACGGAUAAAAGGUACUCUGGGGAUAACAGGCUGAUACCGCCCAAGAGUUCAUAUCGACGGCGGUGUUUGGCACCUCGAUGUCGGCUCAUCUCAUCCUGGGGCUGUAGCCGGUCCCAAGGGUAUGGCUGUUCGCCAUUUAAAGAGGUACGUGAGCUGGGUUUAAAACGUCGUGAGACAGUUUGGUCCCUAUCUUCCGUGGGCGCUGCAGAUUUGAGGAAGCCUGCUCCUAGUACGAGAGGACCGGAGUGGACACACCUCUGGUGUAUCGGUUGUCACGCCAGUGGCAUUGCCGAGUAGCUAAGUGUGGAAGAGAUAACCGCUGAAAGCAUCUAAGCGGGAAACUCGUUUCAAGAUGAGAUCUGCCGGGGCCUUGAGCCCCCUAAAGAGUCGUUCAAGACCAGGACGUUGAUAGGUCAGGU